RNAcentral lists this unclassified non-coding RNA (194 nucleotides) under uncultured Exophiala. Its description in RNAcentral is "sequence contains ITS2". Lineage: Eukaryota; Fungi; Ascomycota; Eurotiomycetes; Chaetothyriales; Herpotrichiellaceae. The record is from RNAcentral.
UCACCCCUCAAGCCCUCGGCUUGGUGUUGGACGGUUUGGUGGAGACCCCCUUUGCGGGCUUCUACCCCUCCCAAAGACAAUGACGGCGGCCUCGUUGGACCCCCGGUACACUGAGUUCUUCACGGGACACGUAUCGGACACACGGGUUUACGGGACACGGUCUGCCUCCCCUCAGGGAGAAUCUUUUUUAUCAA